CAUGGUGACAGCAGCGCUGGUCACGCCCACGGGGCGGAGAGAGGACAGCGGGCUCUGUGCACGUGCCGCCCCAGGCUCGGCGUGCUGGCUCUGGCCGAGGGUCAGCCGGGUCCGGGAGAUCAUCCGUCGGGGCACCAGGACCAGCACCCGGAGCCACAGCCUUUUAACAGCUGUGUUCUCUGUCACGCUGAGCGUCGAGGCCACAGUGGGCCAAGGAUGCCACGUCCUGUCCCGGACCCUGGGGAUGUGGCCUUGCCUGGCACCAGGGACUCACAGCUGGCAUUUCUCCAGGAGGGUCAGAGUCGGGGCACGCAGGCUGAGGCAGAGGCUGGCAUCACAGCAGCUUGGAGGGCGCGGCACGGAAGGCCCUUCCCGGGAGCAGGGACCAGCAGGGCUUGGAUCGCACCGGCCCAUCUCUCGGACCCCAUUUCUCUCUUGUGCUGCCUUCACGGACAGCCUCCACGAAGACGCCGCCUUGCGCUGUGUUCGUGUUGGCCGUGGCCUAACGGGCUGACACCUGUCGGGAGUUGGUGCGUAUUUGCCUGGGAGACCACCCUCGUCACUUUCUGGAAUCCCUCGUAGACCGGGGACAGACGGCCUAUGGACUCCCUGCAGCUCCUCCCCCAGCUCCCUGCACACAUUGUCAGCCGUCUCCUGACGUCAGCCUCUCUCGCACGUGCUGCGCCCCCCGUGCACGGGCUGGGGGGCCCUGCAACUCAUGCACCGAACGGACAGCACAGCGGCAUCCCGGGCUCCUGGCACAGACGCCACUCUGUUUAGAAACCUGGAGGGGGGAGCCGUGACGCCCACAGGCUGCCUCCCAGAAGGCCCCGCAUGAGACCGUCGUACUUUAUCUUAAGCCAACAGCACAACUUUCUCCUUGGAACACUGUUCAGGUUUACGGCGCAGUGACUUAAGACCACCCACUUCUCAAGAGAGGUUAACCACACACGUACGGCCAGGGGGAGUGUCCUGGAGAGGAGUGAUUUCCAUUCAAGCCGGGGGGCGUUUCCUCACCGUCAACACGGUAUUGAUCACACCGGUGGUUUUCUGCCUCACUUUCUCCCAGCCUCAUUUUUCCUUUUUAAAUACGUUUUCUGAAGUCUCUCCAGAUGAACCAGAGUAACUUCGUUUUUGGAAAAGAACAAAUUUCCCCCAGCAGUGCCAACCCUCCAGUGGCCGAAAUGAGCAGUUCUCAAACAAUCUUGGAGAUUCCAGUGCUCCCUCCGCAGAAUUCUAGAACAGCAGCACGUAAUCCGAGUAUUCCGCAGAAGGGCAGACUGCCCAGCGAGCCCAGUAACUAUGCAAACCCUCUGCCCCCUCGGGGCCCAGAGGGGAGGCCUGUAUAAAUGCUACAGCCAGGAAUAAAAGCAAUUUCCCGA
Molecule: long non-coding RNA, 1382 nt
Organism: Herpailurus yagouaroundi (jaguarundi)
Lineage: Eukaryota; Metazoa; Chordata; Mammalia; Carnivora; Felidae
Exons: 2
Source: RefSeq, a predicted model, not a curated record